GACGAACGCUGGCGGCGUGCUUAACACAUGCAAGUCGAACGGAAAGGCCCUGCUUUUGUGGGGUGCUCGAGUGGCGAACGGGUGAGUAACACGUGAGUAACCUGCCCUUGACUUUGGGGUAACUUCAGGAAACUGGGGCUAAUACCGGAUAGGAGCUCCUGCUGCAUGGUGGGGGUUGGAAAGUUUCGGCGGUUGGGGAUGGACUCGCGGCUUAUCAGCUUGUUGGUGGGGUAGUGGCUUACCAAGGCUUUGACGGGUAGCCGGCCUGAGAGGGUGACCGGCCACAUUGGGACUGAGGUACGGCCCAGACUCCUACGGGGGGCAGCAGUGGGGAAUAUUGCACAAUGGGCGGAAGCCUGAUGCAGCAACGCCGCGUGCGGGAUGACGGCCUUCGGGUUGUAAACCGCUUUCGCCUGUGACGAAGCGUGAGUGACGGUAAUGGGUAAAGAAGCACCGGCUAACUACGUG
Molecule: ribosomal RNA, 468 nt
Filed under: uncultured bacterium
Lineage: Bacteria
Description: partial 16S ribosomal RNA
Rfam family: Bacterial small subunit ribosomal RNA
Source: RNAcentral